This 249-nucleotide unclassified non-coding RNA is filed under the name Hevea brasiliensis (rubber tree). The record is from RNAcentral. Lineage: Eukaryota; Viridiplantae; Streptophyta; Magnoliopsida; Malpighiales; Euphorbiaceae.
CUGGAAGCAAACAUGGAUUUUGAAAAAUUUGAGUGUUUGAAAACAGUAUGACCAAUAUCACCGCCUUGGACACAAAUGUCAAUGAAAUAUUCAGUCUUACAUUAUCCAAACCUCAAAGACAUAAUCAUGCAUUAAUUUCUGAAUUGCACUGAUGCUCUCUGCUGCAGCUUCUUCUGCCCCAAAACAUCAUCCCUGAACAGGUUGUUUUCUCUAGUCUCGGCCCUUCAAUUUUAUCCUGAUCUACAGAUG